AGGGGCAUAGCUCAGUGGUAGAGCUUUUGUUUUGCAUGCAGAAGGUCAAGAAUUCAGUUUUCGAUGCCUCCA
Podarcis lilfordi (Lilford's wall lizard) is the source of this 72-nucleotide non-coding RNA. The record is from the annotation of a GenBank genome assembly. Lineage: Eukaryota; Metazoa; Chordata; Lepidosauria; Squamata; Lacertidae.